RNAcentral lists this ribosomal RNA (617 nucleotides) under uncultured euryarchaeote. Its description in RNAcentral is "bacterial SSU rRNA". It matches the Rfam family "Archaeal small subunit ribosomal RNA", at positions 81 to 712 of the family's 1478-position model. Lineage: Archaea; Methanobacteriati; Methanobacteriota. The record is from RNAcentral.
GCAUACUGCUCAGUAACACGUGGAUAACCUGCCCUAUUGUCUGGAAUAACCUCGGGAAACUGAGAACAAAGCCGGAUAACCCACAAUGCCUGGAACGGUUUGUGGGCGAAGAUAGGAUGGGUCUGCGGCGUAUCAGGUCGUAGGGGGUGUAAUGGACCUCCUAGCCAUCGACGCGUACGGGUGUUGGGAGACAUAGCCCGGAGAUGGAUUCUGAGACACGAAUCCAGACCCUACGGGGUGCAGCAGGCGCGAAAACUUCACACUGCAGGAAACUGUGAUGAGGGAACUCCAAGUGCUAUCACUAUGUGGUAGCUUUUCUUAACUAUUAAUCGGUUUUGGAAUAAGGGCUGGGAAAGACCGGUGCCAGCCGCCGCGGCAAUACCGGCAGCUCAAGUGGUCGUCGCUUUUAUUGGGCCUAAAACGUCCGUAGCCUGUUUGGUAAAUCUGUGGGUAAAUCAACCAGCUUAACUGGUUGAAUUCUGCAGAGACUGCCAGACUAGGGACCGGGAGAGGUGUGGGGUACUCUAGGGGUAGGGGUAAAAUCCUGUCAUCCUUAGAGGACCACCAGUUGCGAAGGCGCCACACUGGAACGGAUCCGACGGUCAGGGACGAAGCCU